Molecule: ribosomal RNA, 403 nt
Filed under: uncultured Armatimonadota bacterium
Lineage: Bacteria; Bacillati; Armatimonadota
Description: bacterial SSU rRNA
Rfam family: Bacterial small subunit ribosomal RNA
Source: RNAcentral
AGUUGGGAAUCUUGCACAAUGGGGGAAACCCUGAUGCAGCGACGCCGCGUGGAGGAUGACGGGUCUAGGCCUGUAAACUCCUUUUAUCGGGAAAGACUUAGGACGGUACCCGAUGAAUAAGCACCGGCUAACUACGUGCCAGCAGCCGCGGUAAGACGUAGGGUGCAAGCGUUGUCCGGAUUUACUGGGCGUAAAGAGCGCGUAGGCGGCUUGUUAAGUGUGAAGCUAAAUCUCCAGGCUCAACCUGGAAACUAUUUCGCAUACUGGCUGGCUGGAGGAAUGCAGAGGUCAGUGGAAUUCCUGGUGUAGCGGUGAAAUGCGUAGAUAUCAGGAGGAACACCCAUGGCGAAGGCAGCUGACUGGGCAUUAUCUGACGCUGAGGCGCGAAAGCGUGGGUAGCAAA